This 253-nucleotide ribosomal RNA is filed under the name uncultured bacterium. RNAcentral's name for it is "partial 16S ribosomal RNA". It matches the Rfam family "Bacterial small subunit ribosomal RNA", at positions 524 to 776 of the family's 1533-position model. The record is from RNAcentral.
UACGAAGGGGGCUAGCGUUGCUCGGAAUUACUGGGCGUAAAGGGCGCGUAGGCGUCUCUGUUAGUCAGGCGUGAAAGCCCUGGGCUCAACCUGGGGACUGCGCUUGAUACGGCAGGGCUUGAGGGUAGAAGAGGCUCGCGGAAUUCCCAGUGUAGAGGUGAAAUUCGUAGAUAUUGGGAAGAACACCGGUGGCGAGGGCGGCGAGCUGGUCUGCACCUGACGCUGAGGCGCGAUAGCGUGGGGAGCAAACAGG